AUACGGAGGGUGCGAGCGUUGUUCGGAAUCACUGGGCGUAAAGCGCGUGUAGGCGGUUCGUUAAGUCUGAUGUGAAAGCCCGAGGCUCAACCUCGGAAGUGCAUUGGAUACUGGCGAGCUAGAGUCCCGGAGAGGAGGGUGGAAUUCCUGGUGUAGCGGUGAAAUGCGUAGAUAUCAGGAGGAACACCGGCGGCGAAGGCGGCCCUCUGGACGGUGACUGACGCUGAGACGCGAAAGCGUGGGGAGCAAACAGGAUUAGAAACCCCGGUAGUCC
RNAcentral lists this ribosomal RNA (274 nucleotides) under uncultured bacterium. Its description in RNAcentral is "partial 16S ribosomal RNA". It matches the Rfam family "Bacterial small subunit ribosomal RNA", at positions 523 to 796 of the family's 1533-position model. The record is from RNAcentral.